RNAcentral lists this long non-coding RNA (796 nucleotides) under Scleropages formosus (Asian bonytongue). Its description in RNAcentral is "lncRNA (ENSSFOG00015027028.1)". Lineage: Eukaryota; Metazoa; Chordata; Actinopteri; Osteoglossiformes; Osteoglossidae. The record is from RNAcentral.
GCUGUUUGUCCUCUACUUGGUUGCUGUAAUAAUUUGAAAAAACAAAAAAAAAAAAAAAAUAAGGAAAAAGUAUGACAGUGUGUAAGCUCCCAGCUGUGUUUAUAACUUCUGUGAAGCUUGUGUUAGGUUUUCCACAGUACGUUCCUGAUGUAAGACAAAGAAAGAGUCUGCUGAUGGGCUGGGACUUCCGCUGACUAUUCAAGAAGACUUUCCAUGGGCCCAGGUGGAACCUCUGUUAUUUCUUGAAGGAGGAGGUCACAGACCAGGCAGCAUUGUGUCUCAGCUUGAGAAACAGCCUCAUGUCAUCUGGACCGGCACCAUUGUGGCAUGCUCUGCUAGGAGCAUUGCUUCUCGCUGGCAUCGUCUCCAUCACUUUGGGCUCCCUGCUGCUGCUGAGGCCAGAAUUAUUUAAAGGUGGAGCCAGAGGAGGAAAAGGGGGAGACCUGCGUGAGACUCUCCAGGAGCUCCAGAAUGCUCUGGAGAAGCUGCAAGACAUCUUAAGCAACUGCAAUGCAUCAAGAGAAGCAGCAUCAAACAAGCAGUCAUCAUCUGAAGCCAAUGAAAUUAGCACGUCAGUAGAAACAACAACUGCUAAGCAGACAACAACAGCUACUGAAACUACAUCAGUGAAACCAUCCAGCAGAUUCGCCGUUUCAACUUCUAGUAAGUGAAAUAUCUUUUUCCUGUUAGUCCAAAAUAUCAAGUAACUUAGUUCUUCAGAUGAAUAAUGUAUUCUGUAUCAUACUGAUGAGCUGACUGCUGCGUUCACUGUCAAAUUUUUGCUUUUAUAGUUCUG